GGCGUUAUAGCUUAGUGUUAGAGCACUUGCCUAGAAUGCAGGAGGCUCUGAGUUCAAUCUCUAGCACCC
Molecule: transfer RNA, 69 nt
Filed under: Ictidomys tridecemlineatus (thirteen-lined ground squirrel)
Lineage: Eukaryota; Metazoa; Chordata; Mammalia; Rodentia; Sciuridae
Description: Spermophilus tridecemlineatus (thirteen-lined ground squirrel) tRNA
Rfam family: tRNA
About the family: Transfer RNA (tRNA) molecules are approximately 80 nucleotides in length. Their secondary structure includes four short double-helical elements and three loops (D, anti-codon, and T loops).
Source: Rfam by way of RNAcentral